GAUGAAGAACGUAGCAAAAUGCGAUAAGUAAUGUGAAUUGCAGAAUUCAGAGAAUCAUCGAAUCUUUGAACGCACAUUGCGCCCGCUGGUAUUCCGGCGGGCAUGCCUGUUCGAGCGUCAUUUCGACCCUCAAGCCCCCGGGUUUGGUGUUGGGGAUCGGCUCUGCCCUUCUGGGCGGUGCCGCCCCCGAAAUACAUUGGCGGUCUCGCUGCAGCCUCCAUUGCGUAGUAGCUAACACCUCGCAACUGGAACGCGGCGCGGCCAUGCCGUAAAACCCCAACUUCUGAAUGUUGACCUCGGAUCAGGUAGGAAUACCCGCUGAACUUAAGCAUAUCAAUAAGCGGAGGA
This 348-nucleotide unclassified non-coding RNA is filed under the name soil metagenome. RNAcentral describes it as "partial contains 5.8S ribosomal RNA, internal transcribed spacer 2, and large subunit ribosomal RNA". The stretch from base 1 to 120 matches the Rfam family "5.8S ribosomal RNA", at positions 35 to 154 of the family's 154-position model. The record is from RNAcentral.